Molecule: long non-coding RNA, 3444 nt
Filed under: Fragaria vesca (wild strawberry)
Lineage: Eukaryota; Viridiplantae; Streptophyta; Magnoliopsida; Rosales; Rosaceae
Description: long non-coding RNA (FVES_LNC000152)
Source: RNAcentral
AAAAACAUAAACUCGGGAACAUGUUUUGGUGCUAAUGUGGUAUUUGUAUUUCAACUCUUCAGUUAAUACAAACAGCCUCAGUUUUCUCAAAAUCAAACUUGAUAGCACUUAAUAAAGUUGAACGUUAAAGCUUUUACAUGUCUGUGAUUGCCCUCCCAGAUAGGAUUAUAGAAAACUGAGGGGUUUGUAUGAAUGGUGAGUCCCUUCCAUAUUGUCUGGGCACCUCCUUCCUCUACCUACCUAUCUGUUUGCUAAACAAAGGUUGUAGCUUUAGGCAGGAGGUCCCAAUUUUGAGCCAGGCCCACUUAGUGGGUUUGUGAAAAUUUCUGAGUGUGUAAAAAGGUUAAUUGAACGAGAACUGUUAACAGGUUUUUAAUUUUGUUCUUAUAAUAUCAAUUCUGAUCUAAGAGAGCCUCAGUUUUUUCAAUUUCUAAGCUUCAGUGAAGUGGUGAAUGAUGUGAGAACUUCCACACUUCAUGAAGUGUAGUAGAGUGUAGAUUUUACAGAAGAAGAAUUGUUAAAGCUUUCUAGAUUCAUUUUCCUACGUUUUAUAUAUAUUGUUCUGAUGCAGGGAGCAGUAAGAGAUAGUGUGAGAGUGAAUAGGGUGGGAUGGAGAGUGUUGAGAGAUUAUAGGAAACAGAAGGAUUUUAAGAGAAACAGGAGUUUCUUAGUUGAAGAAGGGAGAAAUAGAAUAAGGGAGGUUAGGGGAGAGGAUACAAGGCCAAGCCUUCAAAAGAUAAACUCUUAAUUCAUUCCAAUCUGCCCCCGGAUUACAUUAGAAAGCCAUAUUUAUAGCCUUAGACUCCCAGAAUACCAUAAGACUAAUAUAACUGAUUAAUAAUAAGACUCUUAAAUACUUAAGACUUAAAGAGACAUAAAGACACACUCAAGACUCUUUAAAACACUAGACUCAUAAUUAUUAUUUUCAUAACUGAAAGUAAAUUUUGUAACUGAAAAUAAACCUGUUAAUACCCUUAACUACCAAGUAGACUUUCCUUUGGACCAAAAAUGGUUGGGCUUAGUCUUUGGCUUCCAAAGAGGAUAUUUCUGUUCCAGCCAGCUUAUGGCUGCUCCAUUAAUUCUCCCCCUCUGAAAAGAACUCAACUUGGUUGAGUUUGGAACUGGACCAAGUAUAUCAUCACUUUCGGUCUGCUUAAGGAGGAACGUGCCAGCUGUCUUUUUGAGCUUUAUGAUGGGCAAAUCUUUAGAUGGUACGAGCUUGAACUCGUGACUUCCAUCUUGGAAGGAAUAUGUGUUGUUGUAGCCACAAUGCUGCACCUUCUUAUCAUAUAGCCAUGGUCGGCCCAAAAGAAUAUGACACACUUUCAUGGGCAGCACAUCACAGGUUACCGUGUCAACCAACUUCCCAAUGGAAUAGGUCACCAAACAACGAUCAUUGACCUUGAGAUUUGUGUUGUUUACCCAUGCCACCUUAUGAGGAUUUGGAUGUGGUUCGGUAGACAACCCAAGUUUGCGAACAGCUUCUUCAGAGAUGAUAUUAGAGCAGCUCCCUCCAUCUAUGACUAGGGUGCACAACUGAUUACUGCAUCGAACACGGGUUUGGAAAAUGUUACUCCUACGCCAAUCUUCCUCGUGCUCCUUUUGUGUAGUGAGAACAGGCCGUAGUACUAAACAUGGGUCAUACACUUCUACUUCCAUCUCCGAUUCUUUUUCUGCUUCCAACUCAACAACUUCAUUUGCCUUCUGUUCAGUGUUGGCAGCUGCAGUAGGAGUCUCCUUAUCUGCAAAAGCAACUAAACGAUUUGGGCAUUGUACUGCCAAGUGUCCAAAACCCCUACAUUUCCAGCAUUUAAUUUCAGUCCUCAUAUUAGAGGCAGAACCAGCAGCCUUUUGUGCACUCUUAAGGGCAGAAGAACUCACUAAUUGGUUGGAAGAUGAGGACUCACUAUGAGUUUUCUCAUUUGAGUCGCUCGAUGUAGGGGUGAAUCCUCCAUAAGAUUUGUCUACUAUCUUCCCUUUGUUUGAAAAUGACAUGGACGAUCUCUUCUUAUAUUCUUCCUCCAUUUGGUAGGCAAUCUGGACAGCAUCAUUCAUCGUAUAAAUUCGACUUGCUGCUAAUCCCGAAGAAAUAUGGAGAUUCAAGCCCUUGCGGUACAUCGAUAUCAUGAUGUCUUCAUUCCAUGGAAAAUCAGAUUUUGCAGCCAAGCUAUAGAACUUAUUAGUAUACUCUUCAACAGUUAAGCUUCCUUGCACCAAUUCCACAAACUGUAGAUGGACCCGUUGCUUAUAGUUAGGUGGCACAAAGAAACGUGUCAGAGCCAUCUUCAUGUCUUCCCAAGUUCGGAUAACUGCAAGAUGAGUUUGUUGGUAUUUUUCCCACCAAACUCUAGCUGUUCCCUUCAAUUUAGCUUCUGCAAAAGAGAUCUUUCGCUCCUCCGCCAACUGAUGCCAUUUGAAGUAACUUUCCAAGCUGUGUAGCCAAUCAAGGAAUACCUCAGGAUUGCUGUCACCAUUGAAAUCAACAAUAUCUAAUUUUUAUGCCCUUUUCUGAAGCAGACUGUCUUGACUCUCCACGCCUAGAGUCUGAUCCUGAAAAUGAAUCCUGACCACUGUCUUUUGAAUUCUCCUUAACCAAGGCAGACAUAUACUGAAAACCAUGUUCUAAAGAAGUCAGUUUUUCAAGCACCUCCUGGAACAUCUUUUUUUGGCAUUCAGAUUCUUGAGACAAACUGUCCACUUUGGAUGAGAGCUCUGCGUUAGUAACCAUUGUAGUGCUCAGGGUAAGGUGAAGGUAAAAAAUAGGAUGUUUUGGCUCUGGUACCAAAUCUGAUGCAGGGAGCAGUAAGAGAUAGUGUGAGAGUGAAUAGGGUGGGAUGGAGAGUGUUGAGAGAUUAUAGGAAACAGAAGGAUUUUAAGAGAAACAGGAGUUUCUUAGUUGAAGAAGGGAGAAAUAGAAUAAGGGAGGUUAGGGGAGAGGAUACAAGGCCAAGCCUUCAAAAGAUAAACUCUUAAUUCAUUCCAAUCUGCCCCCGGAUUACAUUAGAAAGCCAUAUUUAUAGGCUUCACGUAAAACCCUUAGACUCCCAGAAUACCAUAAGACUAAUAUAACUGAUUAAUAAUAAGACUCUUAAAUACUGGUGACUUAAAGAGACAUAAAGACACACUCAAGACUCUUUAAAACACUGGACUCAUAAUUAUUAUUUUCAUAACUGAAAGUAAAUUUUGUAACUGAAAAUAAACCUGUUAAUACCCUUAACUACCAAGUAGACUUUCCUUUGGACCAAAAAUGGUUGGGCUUAGUCUUUGGCUUCCAAAGAGGAUAUUUCAUUUUCCUACGUUUUAUAUAUAUUGUUCUUUUGGUAUUUCUAUUGAUACUACUUGUAAUGUGGAUCACUAGUAUUUGACUGUAUGUUCCACAUCUCCACCCAACAAUUUAUUAAGCUUGUUUUUAUUGUUCUUCUUUUUCCCCUUUUCAACAGAAAC